This 1293-nucleotide long non-coding RNA is filed under the name Chloebia gouldiae (Gouldian finch). RNAcentral describes it as "Erythrura gouldiae (Gouldian finch) lncRNA (ENSEGOG00005017674.1)". Lineage: Eukaryota; Metazoa; Chordata; Aves; Passeriformes; Passeridae. The record is from RNAcentral.
CGAGCGGCCCAGAGCGGAGUCCUCCAGAGCAGACGAGUUUAACCUCCGAGCGGCCCAGAGCGGAGUCCUCCAGAGCAGACGAGUUUAACCUCCGAGCGGCCCAGAGCGGAGUCCUCCAGAGCAGACGAGUCGCAGCUCCCAAAGCGGCGAGCGCGGGCCGGAGCGGCCCCGCGGGGUCGGUCACUUCCGGGCGGCGGCGGCGGCGGGAACGUUCGAGCAUGGCCGCGGCCGCCGCCGCCUCCUCCCGGCGCCGCCGCCGUCCCCGCGGCCACCCCAACCCGCUGUUCGCCCGCUGGCUCCGGGAGUGGCGGGACGAGGCGCGGGGCACCUGGGCGAGGGGCACCUAUGAGAGGGUGGGUGUGUGGGGGGGGGCCCGGUUCGAUUUAGGGGUCCCCAGGUGGGCGAUUUUGGGGUGCCCGGGUGUGUUUUGGGGUCCCCAGGUGGGCGAUUUUGAGAUGCCCAGAUGUGUUUUGGGGUAACCAGGUGGGUGAUUUUGGGUUCCCAGGUGUGUUUUGGGAUGCCUGGGUGUGUUUUGGGGUGCCCAGGUGGGUGAUUUUGGUGUGUCCAGGUGUAUUUUGGGGUGUCCGGGUGUGUUUUUGGGGUCCCCAGAUAUGUUUUGGGGUACCCAGGUGUGUUUUGGGAUCCCCAGGUGGGUGAUUUUGGGGUCCCCAGGUGGGUGAUUUUGGGGUGCCCGGGUGUGUUUUGGGGUCCUCAGGUGUGUUUUGGGGUGCCCAGCUGUGUUUUGGGCUCCCCAGGUGGGCGAUUUUGGGGUGCCCAGGUGUGUUUUGUGAUCCUCAGGUGUGUUUUGGGGUGCCCAGGUGUGUUUUGGGGUGCCCAGCUGUGUUUUGGGGUGCCCAGGUGGGUGAUUUUGGGUCCCCAGGUGUGUUUUGGGAUGCCUGGGUGUAUUUUGGGGUCCCCAGAUGGGUGAUUUUGGGGUGCCCGAGUGUAUUUUGGGGUCCCCAGGUGUGUUUUGGGAUGCCCGGGUGUAUUUUGAGAUCCUCAGGUGUGUUUUGGGGUGCCCAGGUGGGUGAUUUUGGGGUCCCUGGUCAAGUUCCCCCCUUCUGGUUGGUUCUGGGCUCCCUCAAGGGAAUUUUGGGGUGCUCCAGGUGGGUUUUGGGCCCUCCCAGGUGGGUUGGGCAUCCCAGGCUGCUGAUUUUGAACCCCCUAAGGUGUCUUUGCCCCCGCAGGUGUAUCCCAGGUGUAUUUUGGGUACCCCCAGGUGUAUCUCAGGUAUGUUUUAAGUUCCCCAAGUGUUUCCAGGUGUGCUUCAGGUGUAUCCCAGGUGUGUUUUGA